CCUACGGGUGGCUGCAGUGAGGAAUAUUGGUCAAUGGGCGUAAGCCUGAACCAGCCAAGUCGCGUGAGGGAUGAAGGUUCUAUGGAUCGUAAACCUCUUUUAUAAGGGAAUAAAGUGUGGGACGUGUCCUAUUUUGUAUGUACCUUAUGAAUAAGGAUCGGCUAACUCCGUGCCAGCAGCCGCGGUAAUACGGAGGAUCCGAGCGUUAUCCGGAUUUAUUGGGUUUAAAGGGUGCGUAGGCGGCCUUUUAAGUCAGCGGUGAAAGUCUGUGGCUCAACCAUAGAAUUGCCGUUGAAACUGGGGGGCGUGAGUAUGUUUGAGGCAGGCGGAAUGCGUGGUGUAGCGGUGAAAUGCUUAGAUAUCACACAGAACACCGAUUGCGAAGGCAUCUCACGAAUCCGCGAUUGACGCUGAUGCACGAAAGCGUGGGUAUCAAACAGGAUUAGAUACCCGAGUAGUC
This 460-nucleotide ribosomal RNA is filed under the name uncultured bacterium. Its description in RNAcentral is "partial 16S ribosomal RNA". It matches the Rfam family "Bacterial small subunit ribosomal RNA", at positions 338 to 795 of the family's 1533-position model. The record is from RNAcentral.